UACGUAGGGUGCGAGCGUUGUCCGGAAUUAUUGGGCGUAAAGAGCUUGUAGGCGGUUUGUCGCGUCUGUCGUGAAAACCAGGGGCUUAACUCCUGGCGUGCGGUGGGUACGGGCAGGCUAGAGUGUGGUAGGGGAGACUGGAAUUCCUGGUGUAGCGGUGAAAUGCGCAGAUAUCAGGAGGAACACCGAUGGCGAAGGCAGGUCUCUGGGCCAUUACUGACGCUGAGAAGCGAAAGCAUGGGGAGCGAACAGG
This 253-nucleotide ribosomal RNA is filed under the name uncultured bacterium. Its description in RNAcentral is "partial 16S ribosomal RNA". It matches the Rfam family "Bacterial small subunit ribosomal RNA", at positions 524 to 776 of the family's 1533-position model. The record is from RNAcentral.